ACCGAAGCCUAUAACCGCCUCCGGGCGUGAUGGGUGGCUGGUAUCCUCCUUCUGAGAGGUGUAUGGUGCAGCUUGGGCCGGCCCUUUUGGGUCGCGAAUUCCCAGCGCUGCGGCGGACCACCUCUUGGGCAACUCAGUGGGGGCAAUUGGAUGGCUCGUAGGCACCUUUGGCGGCUUUGGCCCUGAAGGUGGCUCGGGCUGGGUUGAUUGGGCUUCGGUCCACGUCCCGACCUUUUAACUAGCUCUGAUACCCCUUCAUUGAGGGUAUGCCGGGUGGUCGUUCAUCCUUUGGGGUGGAUGAUCUCGCGGGAAAGAUAGUUACCUGGUUGAUUCUGCCAGUAGUCAUAUGCUUGUCUCAA
RNAcentral lists this unclassified non-coding RNA (359 nucleotides) under Cladonia neozelandica. RNAcentral describes it as "partial 28S-18S ribosomal RNA intergenic spacer". Lineage: Eukaryota; Fungi; Ascomycota; Lecanoromycetes; Lecanorales; Cladoniaceae. The record is from RNAcentral.